UGGAGAAAUCAAAAGUGCCAUUUUCUGGCUA
Molecule: non-coding RNA, 31 nt
Filed under: Homo sapiens (human)
Lineage: Eukaryota; Metazoa; Chordata; Mammalia; Primates; Hominidae
Source: RNAcentral